RNAcentral lists this transfer RNA (90 nucleotides) under Gammaproteobacteria bacterium. RNAcentral describes it as "tRNA-Ser". It matches the Rfam family "tRNA". From Rfam's summary of the family: Transfer RNA (tRNA) molecules are approximately 80 nucleotides in length. Their secondary structure includes four short double-helical elements and three loops (D, anti-codon, and T loops). Lineage: Bacteria; Pseudomonadati; Pseudomonadota; Gammaproteobacteria. RNAcentral also lists the same sequence under 1 other name. The record is from RNAcentral.
GGUGAGGUGUCCGAGAGGCCGAUGGAGCACGCUUGGAAAGCGUGUAACGGGUUAAACCGUUCGAGGGUUCGAAUCCCUCCCUCACCGCCA